This 461-nucleotide long non-coding RNA is filed under the name Rattus norvegicus (Norway rat). RNAcentral describes it as "long non-coding RNA NONRATT017230". The record is from RNAcentral. Lineage: Eukaryota; Metazoa; Chordata; Mammalia; Rodentia; Muridae.
CAAAAUCAAGCCAGUCGACAUUCUAGUGUGAAGUGGGAAGGGAUUCUUAAGCCCUCACCCCUAAACGAGGAGCUAUGGAAAGUCAGUGGCUACAGGGAUGGGGAACACAGAGCCAAUUUUUUUUUUUUUCCGGAGCUGGGGACGGAACCCAGGGCCUUGCGCUUGCUAGGCAAGCGCUCUACCGCUGAGCUAAAUCCCCAACCCCGCCAAUUUUCUUUAGGGUGUGACUCCUGGUAAGCUAACUCUGUUCCCUCCAGUCGAUGUCCCCAUACCCAGGAGUAUAUCGGCAGCACAAAUUGGAAUUAAUGGGCCAUUUUAAAAAGAGGACACAAAGUUUCAGGAGGGAAAGGAGGUGGGGAUGGGUGGAAGGAUUCAGGGAGAAAGAAUGGGGGGGUUGAGUUGAUCAAAAUAAUAUCACAUGAAAUUCUCAAAGAAUUAUUUAAAAUAUUUUUAAAGAUUUA